UGGCAGUACCUCCAUUUCCAAGAAUACCAGAGGGGUGCCAGCCGUUCAACAGUUACUCCCUCGGGUCCAGGGAAGUGUUUAUUCCAACGUCAUUACUGCACGGAGUGGCCAGCAACCAGUGCCCUAGGCUAGGGUGGAGGGGAAAAGAUAUCAGGAGAGAAGAGACUGGCCUUUUAUAAGGGGAUGCAGCGCAUGUGCAGGGGGGAAGAUGGGCCUUUUAGGUGACUGUGGGAAUGUAUCGAAUCUCAGCAGCCAGUGGUGUUGUACCCUACUGUCACUGGGUCCCAGGGGCAGGUGGUGGAGAUGUGUGAUUGUUAACACAACCAAAAAAAAUAAUGUUUGUUUAAAGAUGAGGAAAUAAGGCUUAGAAUAAUCAAAACCCAGCAACAGUGAUCAUUAUGAAAAUUUAAUUAUUUGGCUAUGUAUUUUAUGUAUAUUGGUGCUUUGUCUGCAUGUACCUCAGCACACCAGAAGAGUAUGUCAGAUCCCAUGGGGCUCAACUGUUGUGAUUCACUGUGUGGGUGCUAGGAAUUGAACUCAGGACCUCUGAAAGAGCAGCCAGUGCUCUUGACCACUGAGCCAUCUCUCCAGCCCCAAUAAUAAGAUGUAUUAACUAACUAAGGAGAAGUGAUAGCUGAGUGUGGUUGCAAAUGAAACCCUGUCCCCUUCUCUCUUUUCCCUUCUGUCUCUUAAGGGAGAAACCCUUUGUGUACGAAUGCUGACCCUGGUUUCAGUGGUAUUCAUAAGUACCUUGCACUGUGUAAGCUCUUUUAACUGUUAUAACCCUCUCAAGAAGAUAAACACCCAAGAAACUGAGUGAUUUCCUCAAGGUGUCACAGCCCAAACCUCUGGGCCUGAAGUUUCUCCCUCUGCCUGUGUCAUAUUCUGGCUUAUGGACUAGCAAGGAUGUUUCUGUCCAUCAGUCAAGUCCGGAUCCAGUGAGUCUAACCUUAAGUGAGUGGGCCC
RNAcentral lists this long non-coding RNA (966 nucleotides) under Mus musculus (house mouse). Its description in RNAcentral is "long non-coding RNA chr3:95715636-95716602". Lineage: Eukaryota; Metazoa; Chordata; Mammalia; Rodentia; Muridae. The record is from RNAcentral.